UGGGGAUGUAGCUCAGAUGGUAGAGCGCUCGCUUAGCAUGCGAGAGGUACGGGGAUCGAUACCCCGCAUCUCCAUUUUCCCCCUAUCCAUCGU
This 93-nucleotide transfer RNA is filed under the name Lupinus albus (white lupine). RNAcentral's name for it is "hypothetical ncRNA". The stretch from base 2 to 74 matches the Rfam family "tRNA". From Rfam's summary of the family: Transfer RNA (tRNA) molecules are approximately 80 nucleotides in length. The record is from RNAcentral. Lineage: Eukaryota; Viridiplantae; Streptophyta; Magnoliopsida; Fabales; Fabaceae.